AAGACUAUAGACCUGCGGAGUACCUGCGGAAGGAUCAUUAACGAUUUCGGUGUAAAAAACCGUUUUCUACCUAUGUCUACGCGUACCACUUGUUUCCUCGGGGGGCUUGCCCCCCGCUAGGACCCUUUAUCAAACCUUUUUGUAAUAGCAGUCAGCGUCUGAUACUACGUUAAUUAUUAAAACUUUCAGCAAUGGAUCUCU
This 201-nucleotide unclassified non-coding RNA is filed under the name soil metagenome. Its description in RNAcentral is "partial contains 5.8S ribosomal RNA, internal transcribed spacer 2, and large subunit ribosomal RNA". The record is from RNAcentral.